RNAcentral lists this ribosomal RNA (406 nucleotides) under uncultured bacterium. Its description in RNAcentral is "partial 16S ribosomal RNA". It matches the Rfam family "Bacterial small subunit ribosomal RNA", at positions 30 to 526 of the family's 1533-position model. The record is from RNAcentral.
AUUGAACGCUGGCGGCAGGCCUAACACAUGCAAGUCGAACGAGUGGCGGACGGGUGAGUAAUGUCUGGGAAACUGCCUGAUGGAGGGGGAUAACUACUGGAAACGGUAGCUAAUACCGCAUACCAUCAGAUGUGCCCAGAUGGGAUUCGCUUGUUGGUGGGGUAACGGCUCACCAAGGCGACGAUCCCUAGCUGGUCUGAGAGGAUGACCAGCGACACUGGACCUGAGACACGGCCCAGACUCCUACGGGAGGCAGCAGGGGGGAAUAUUGCACAAUGGGCGCAAACCUGAGGCAGCCAUGCCGCGUGUGUGAAGAGGGCCUUCGGGUUGUAAAGUACUUUCAGCGGGGAGGCUUUACCCGCAGAAGAAGCACCGGCUGACUCCGUGCCAGCAGCCGCGGUAAUUC